RNAcentral lists this ribosomal RNA (254 nucleotides) under uncultured bacterium. RNAcentral describes it as "partial 16S ribosomal RNA". It matches the Rfam family "Bacterial small subunit ribosomal RNA", at positions 524 to 776 of the family's 1533-position model. The record is from RNAcentral.
UACGGGGGGAGCAAGCGUUGUUCGGAUUUACUGGGCGUAAAGGGCGCGUAGGCGGUCAGCACAAGUCAGUUGUGAAAUCUCCGGGCUUAACUCGGAAAGGUCAACUGAUACUGUGCGACUAGAGUGCAGAAGGGGCAACUGGAAUUCUCGGUGUAGCGGUGAAAUGCGUAGAUAUCGAGAGGAGCACCUGCGGCGAAGGCGGGUUGCUGGGCUGACACUGACGCUGAGGCGCGAAAGCCAGGGGAGCGAACGGG